GGUCCGGCAGAGAGUGUUUUCCCCCAGAAGAAUAUGAAUGAAAGACCAUCAAAUAAUCCAGAUAUGGCACGAGCACAGCACCAGGUUUUGUCUGAUGAAACAAACAGCAUUUCGGAGGAACAUCUUGAUCAGCACAGCCUUAUGCUUAAAAAAUAAGCAAGACCAGUAAGCAACCAAGAAUACUGGGAGCCUGCCUGUGCAAACUGGACCUCAUACAACAG
Non-coding RNA from Danio rerio (zebrafish), 221 nucleotides. The record is from RefSeq and is a predicted model, not a curated record. NCBI's taxonomy places the organism in Eukaryota, Metazoa, Chordata, Actinopteri, Cypriniformes, Danionidae.